UACGGGGGGAGCAAGCGUUGUUCGGAUUUACUGGGCGUAAAGGGCGCGUAGGCGGCCACUGCAAGUCAGUUGUGAAAUCUCCGGGCUUAACCCGGAAAGGUCAACUGAUACUGCAGGGCUAGAGUGCAGAAGGGGCAACUGGAAUUCUCGGUGUAGCGGUGAAAUGCGUAGAGAUGUGGAGGAACACCGAUGGCGAAGGCAGCCUCCUGGGCCAGCACUGACGCUCAUGCACGAAAGCGUGGGGAGCAAACAGG
Molecule: ribosomal RNA, 254 nt
Filed under: uncultured bacterium
Lineage: Bacteria
Description: partial 16S ribosomal RNA
Rfam family: Bacterial small subunit ribosomal RNA
Source: RNAcentral